ACCAUGUUUAUAAAAUUGAUAUCUCCUAUUUUGCUGUAACAAAAGCAGGCGGCGCUGGACGAGACAUCGUUUCAACUACCCAGUCGGUUGAUACAUACAUAUAAAAAGGCCAGACUCCCAUAAUCCAAGUCCUAUCCCUUAACCGAGUAAAAAUAAAAGAACGAUCAGCUGACCACCAUGCCGCCGGUGACCAGAUCCCAGACAAAGAGGCUCAGGGAGCAAGAGCUCCAGGCCAAGGCAUUUUGCGGAAAGAGGUGUGCCGUGCGAGUCCGACGCCCGACCCAACGGGAAAUCAACUCCGCUUGCAAAUCCCAAUCCGUAAGUGGCUUGGCUCCGGAAGCAGUCGAAAACCACUCUCAUUCGGCAGGCCAGACACUGAUCCAGCGCUUUAACAGCCGUCUUCUUAACUGGUUAGUAAGGAUCAAGCGGACGAACUAGCCCAGUAGCGUGCAUACAUCAAAGAGAGGUAACGACGGAGAAGGGGACAUACAUAUAGUACUUUGAAUACUUUCAAAUAUACAGGACAUUCAAUCUACAACAAGAAACACAAUUUAUAUUAUUGCGUACAUGAAAAGCUGAAUGUAUCAUGCGUCUCAAAACUUGAUCGACAAAUAUACAUAAAUAGCUUAUCAUUAUUUCGAAGCGUAGCAUA
Drosophila ficusphila is the source of this 652-nucleotide long non-coding RNA. RefSeq lists it as uncharacterized. NCBI's taxonomy places the organism in Eukaryota, Metazoa, Arthropoda, Insecta, Diptera, Drosophilidae. The record is from RefSeq and is a predicted model, not a curated record. The transcript is spliced from 2 exons.